This 403-nucleotide ribosomal RNA is filed under the name uncultured bacterium. Its description in RNAcentral is "partial 16S ribosomal RNA". It matches the Rfam family "Bacterial small subunit ribosomal RNA", at positions 30 to 526 of the family's 1533-position model. The record is from RNAcentral.
AUUGAACGCUGGCGGCAGGCCUAACACAUGCAAGUCGAGCGAGCGGCGGACGGGUGAGUAAUGUAUGGGGACUGCCCGAUAGAGGGGGAUAACUACUGGAAACGGUGGCUAAUACCGCAUACUAUCGGAUAACCCAUAUGGGAUUAGCUAGUAGGUGGGGUAACGGCUAACCUAGGCGACGAACUCUAGCUGGUCUGAGAGGAUGACCAGUCACACUGGGACUUAGACGCAGACCAGACUCCUACGGAGGCAGCAGUGAGGAAUAUUGCACAAUGGGCGCAAGCCUGAUGCAGCCAUGCCGCGUGUAUGAAGAAGGCCUUCGGGUUGUAAAGUACUUUCAGCGGGGAGGCGUUACCCGCAGAAGAAGCACCGGCUAACUCCGUGCCAGCAGCCGCGGUAAUUC